RNAcentral lists this ribosomal RNA (403 nucleotides) under uncultured bacterium. RNAcentral's name for it is "partial 16S ribosomal RNA". It matches the Rfam family "Bacterial small subunit ribosomal RNA", at positions 30 to 526 of the family's 1533-position model. The record is from RNAcentral.
AUUGAACGCUGGCGGCAGGCCUAACACAUGCAAGUCGAGCGAGCGGCGGACGGGUGAGAAAUGUAUGGGGACUGCCCGAUAGAGGGGGAUAACUACUGGAAACGGUGGCUAAUACCGAAUACUGUCGGAUAACCAAUAUGGGAGUAGAUAGUAGGUAAGGUAAUGGCUUACCUAGGCGAAGAUCCCUAGCUGGUCUGAGAGGAUGAUCAGCCAAACUGGGACUGAGACACGGCCCAGACUCCUACGGAGGCAGCAGUGGGGAAUAUUGCACAAUGGGCGCAAGCCUGAUGCAGCCAUGCCGCGUGUAUGAAGAAGGCCCUAGGGUUGUAAAGUACUUUCAGUCGUGAGGCGUUACCGACAGAAGAAGCACCGGCUAACUCCGUGCCAGCCGCCGCGGUAAUUC